RNAcentral lists this ribosomal RNA (442 nucleotides) under uncultured bacterium. Its description in RNAcentral is "bacterial SSU rRNA". It matches the Rfam family "Bacterial small subunit ribosomal RNA", at positions 43 to 524 of the family's 1533-position model. The record is from RNAcentral.
CAGGGCCUAGCACAUGCAAGUCGAGCGAGAAAGGGGAAACCCAAUAAAGCGGCGCACGGGUGCGUAACGCGUGGGAAUCUGCCCUUAGGUUCGGGAUAACCAUUGGAAACGAUGGCUAAUACCGGAUGAUAUCGCGAGAUCAAAGAUUUAUCGCCUGAGGAUGAGCCCGCGUAGGAUUAGCUAGUUGGUGGGGUAAAGGCCUACCAAGGCGACGAUCCUUAGCUGGUCUGAGAGGAUGAUCAGCCACACUGGGACUGAGACACGGCCCAGACUCCUACGGGAGGCAGCAGUGGGGAAUAUUGGACAAUGGGCGAAAGCCUGAUCCAGCAAUGCCGCGUGAGUGAUGAAGGCCUUAGGGUUGUAAAGCUCUUUUACCCGGGAUGAUAAUGACAGUACCGGGAGGAUAAGCUCCGGCUAACUCCGUGCCAGCAGCCGCGGUAAU